GGAAAGAAAACCUCCGCCCUAAUAUGGUGGGGGGAUGACGGUACCGGAAGAAUAAGCACCGGCUAACUACGUGCCAGCAGCCGCGGUAAUACGUAGGGUGCAAGCGUUAAUNGGAAUUACUGGGCGUAAAGCGUGCGCAGGCGGUCCGCUAAGACAGAUGUGAAAUCCCCGGGCUUAACCUGGGAACUGCAUUUGUGACUGGCGGGCUAGAGUAUGGCAGAGGGGGGUAGAAUUCCACGUGUAGCAGUGAAAUGCGUAGAGAUGUGGAGGAAUACCGAUGGCGAAGGCAGCCCCCUGGGCCAAUACUGACGCUCAUGCACGAAAGCGUGGGGAGCAAACAGGAUUAGAUACCCUGGUAGUCCACGCCCUAAACGAUGUCAACUAGUUGUUGGGGAUUCAUUUCCUUAGUAACGUAGCUAACGCGUGAAGUUGACCGCCUGGGGAGUACGGUCGCAAGAUUAAAACUCAAAGGAAUUGACGGGGACCCGCACAAGCGGUGGAUGAUGUGGAUUAAUUCGAUGCAACGCGAAAAACCUUACCUACCCUUGACAUGUAUGGAAUCCUGCUGAGAGGUGGGGGUGCCCGAAAGGGAGCCAUAACACAGGUGCUGCAUGGCUGUCGUCAGC
RNAcentral lists this ribosomal RNA (626 nucleotides) under Burkholderia sp. B15. RNAcentral's name for it is "bacterial SSU rRNA". It matches the Rfam family "Bacterial small subunit ribosomal RNA", at positions 442 to 1059 of the family's 1533-position model. The record is from RNAcentral. Lineage: Bacteria; Pseudomonadati; Pseudomonadota; Betaproteobacteria; Burkholderiales; Burkholderiaceae.